GAACCUGCGAUCUGUGAAGAGGGGACCAUUUGAAAGAAGAUUUUCUUUUAAUGUUGAUGAGAAGGAAGACUUUAAUUGACUGCAAAAUCCUUCCUCGCAUGAGACACUUGAAAGGGUGCAUUAAAAUGGAUCCCAAAAGAAGGCAAUCUUCCCUCUCCCGAAUGACUGCGAUUUAGCAGACCUUGGAAACUUGCUGGAUCUUAUUUUAUUGUUGUUCUUGUCCAUGUGUGUGUUAAGAUGCUGUUGUAGCCGGAUUUGAAACAUCCGAUGCUGAAAAUGUUGCUGUGUCGAGUGAUUUCCAGACGAGUAUGGUAACCGAAUAAUUGAUUUUUAAAAGCAAGUACAGAGGAGGGGAGAGACUGCUGUUGAAGUGAAGGCUCCUUGGCUGGAAAUUGAAAUGUUUGUUGCCAGAUUUUCCUAGAAAAGACUUUACUAGGCUAAUUACGUGUUGUGAAGGAGUCUUUGGCGAAGGCAACAGCCCUAGUCAGAAGGCUUUUCUAUUUUCUGUACGGGCAUUGUGUGUGAUCAUACCACAGGAUAGUACGAAGUGUGUGUCUUUCAUUUAUGCUGGCUAAACCGCCUCCUUGCUCACUAUUGAGAUUUCGAUUCUGCAGUCCUCGCUCAGACAAGACUCCAGUUGAUGUCAAUAGGAGUCUUGUUUGAGUAAGGACUGCAAGACUGGACCAUACAGUUGGACAAUAAGUACAUAUAAAUGUCGUGGAGUGCAUCCUUUCGGCUAUGGAGGGACAUAGUUUACACGUAGGAGAAAUGCCUUCCAAAUCAUGCCAUUGCUUUUACAUGCAAUGCAACUGGAUCAUCUCUGACCUCUAUGUGAUGAUUGCUUGAAUAAUUACUAGGAUCUGGUGUAACAUAUCCAUUCAAGUUUUCCCUCAUUUUAAGUUCUGCAUAGUGUACUCUAGUAGUGGCUAGAGUGGGACUCAGGAGACUUGGAUUCUAUUCCUGGCUCUACCACUGGCCUGCUGGGUGACCUUGGGCAACUCACUUCAUCUCAGCUUCCCCAUUUGUAAAAGGAGGAUAAUAAUACUGACCUCCUUUGUAAAAUGCUUUGAGAUCUCCAAAUAAAAAGUGAUAUAUAAGAGCUUUUUAUUAUUACAUUAUUUCUGUUUAAUAGUUAGUCAGUCCAUAUGUAAUAUGUAUUUACUUCUGCACAGAAUUUUUGGAAGGUCUUUGAUGUAUCUGCAUAAAUAAAAAGCCCUAACCAGAUAGUUAUAUUUUUAAAUAAAUAAAUAAAACUUGCUGGCAAUUUAAAAAA
Dermochelys coriacea (leatherback sea turtle) is the source of this 1273-nucleotide long non-coding RNA. RefSeq lists it as uncharacterized. The transcript is spliced from 2 exons. NCBI's taxonomy places the organism in Eukaryota, Metazoa, Chordata, Testudines, Dermochelyidae. The record is from RefSeq and is a predicted model, not a curated record.